Callithrix jacchus (white-tufted-ear marmoset) is the source of this 2111-nucleotide long non-coding RNA. NCBI's taxonomy places the organism in Eukaryota, Metazoa, Chordata, Mammalia, Primates, Cebidae. The record is from Ensembl.
UGUCAAGAGCCUAUGUAUCAAACUUUUGGAGUUUUGCCACACUGUGAAGUCAAAAAUGGCUUGAAAUUUAAUUUUUAUUAGUAAUUUUAAAUUUUGAUGUAAUUUUGUUGUUCCCAAGCAAGUUGGAAGGGAAGCACCAUACUCUGAGUUCCAGUUGAGAGUCCUUUAUUGCUGGCAACCAAGAGUCUGCUUAUGCUCAAAAAAUCUCUCAGCCCUGAAGAAGGGGCUUGAUUACUUUUUAUAUCUUGCUUAACAUAGGGAAGGGGGAGCCUAGCUGAAGCAGAAUUUAUAGAAGCAGAACAAGCAAGUUAGAUAAGGAGGCUGGUAACUAGGAGGCAGGAGGUUCCCAUGAUUGUUGAUUACUAAGGAGGGUAUACACAAGCAGUUCCCAUGAUUGCUGAUUACCAAGAGGGGUAUUCAGUACUUGCCAUACAAUCAAUCAAGGGGGUAUUCACAAUAGCAAGUGGGCUUGUCAAGCAGGAUAUGGUUACAAUGGUUAUAUGCCUCUCUAGUUCUAAGCACAGCACAGUAGCAUGACCCAGGUAUGCACUCAAGGGAGAAAUGGCAGGAGGGGAAAGGCAGAGUUUAAGAUGGAGUCUGUCUGGCUCUCAGCAAGAUGGAGUCUGUCAGGCUAAUACAGGGUAGGUUAGCACAGUUUAAAACUGACAAAAUGUGUAAGAAUAUACAAAGAUUUCCUAUAUAUUUUUGAUUGAGCUUUAAUUGGCAUUUUUCUAAUUUAGAGUGACAUUAUGAGGAAAGCCAAAGAACCCAUUGAUGAUGUAAUCAACAAAACUAGGCACAAAAUAUUUCUGUGGACCCCGAAAUACAAGCAAGUGGUCCUGUCACUGAGAUCAACAAGACCUGGGCGAUAUCGGUUACCUUGCAGGGGAAGCAGAGGAAAGUUGAGAGACUGCUCAUUGCCCUGCCAGUUGGAGAGCCCAAACUCACCAACAGAUACUCACAGGAAGUCAGCAGGUCACCCCUGGAACAGCAGCCCAAACUGGAAGGAGCUUUGUGAGCGCCGAUCUGUGGGUGGAGAAACUGAGAUUCAGACAAGGAGCUUCUUGUUCAGCAAACACUACUUAGCCAAUAAUCUAAAUGGAAGUUAAUGGAGAAUUGUUUGACUCAGUGCUAUGGUCUGAAUGUUGUGUCCCUCCCAAAUUCAAAUUCAAAUCCUAACCCCAAGGUGGUGAUAUGAGGAGGUGGAGUCUUUGGAAGGUGAUUAUAUCAUGGGAGUGGAACUGUCAUGAAUGGGAUCAGUGCCCUUGUAUAAAAGCCUCCUCAACCCUUCAACUAUGUGAGGACACGGCAAGAAGAUGCCAUCUAUGAACUGGAAAGUAGGCCCUCAUCAGACUCAGACCUACUGACACCUUGAUCUUGGACUUCCCAGUCUCCAGAACCUUGAGAAAUAAAUUUCUGCUGUUUAUAAGAGGCUUGGUUUAUGGUAAUUUGUUAUAGCAUCCUGAAUGGACUAAAACACCUAUGGUAUUAAGAAUUUUGAGGCCGGGCAUGGUGGCUCAUGCCUGUAAUCCCAGCCUUGGGAGGCUGAGGUAGGUGGAUCAAUUGAGCUCAGGAGUUCGAGACCAGCCUGGGCAAUAUAGUAAGACCUCAACUCUAUUCUAAUUUUUUUUAAUUAAAAGAAAAAAGGAUCUGAAAAUUCUAAAUCUGCUUUCUCCUCUAUUAAAAAAUUUUCAGGGCCGGGCGCGGUGGCUCACGCCUAUAAUCCCAGCACUUUGAGAGGCCGAGGUGGGUGGAUCAUGAGGUCAAGAGAUCGAGACCAUCCUGGUCAACAUGGUGAAACCCUGUCUCUACUAAAAAUACAAAAAUUAGCUGGGCAUGGUGGCGCGCACCUGUAGUCCCAGCUACUCAGGAGGCUGAGGCAGCAGAAUUGCCUGAACCCAGGAGGCGGAGGUUGCGGUGAGCCGAGAUUGUGCCAUUGCACUCCAGCCUGGGUAACAACAGCAAAACUCUGUCUCAAAAAAAAAAAAAAAAUCUUCAGAUGGCAGCUCUUAGUAUACUAGAGUCACAUUCUGAAUAUUUGUAGCCAUUGUCCACAAGGGCAGUCAGAAGACUUAAGUUAGUGGUUUCCAAACUUACUUUUUGGUCUAGAA